ACUAAGCGUACACGGUGGAUGCCCUGGCAGUCAGAGGCGAUGAAGGACGUGCUAAUCUGCGAUAAGCGUCGGUAAGGUGAUAUGAACCGUUAUAACCGGCGAUUUCCGAAUGGGGAAACCCAGUGUGAUUCGUCACACUAUCAUUAACUGAAUCCAUAGGUUAAUGAGGCGAACCGGGGGAACUGAAACAUCUAAGUACCCCGAGGAAAAGAAAUCAACCGAGAUUCCCCCAGUAGCGGCGAGCGAACGGGGAGCAGCCCAGAGCCUGAAUCAGUGUGUGUGUUAGUGGAAGCGUCUGGAAAGGCGCGCGAUACAGGGUGACAGCCCCGUACACAAAAAUGCACAUGCUGUGAGCUCGAUGAGUAGGGCGGGACACGUGGUAUCCUGUCUGAAUAUGGGGGGACCAUCCUCCAAGGCUAAAUACUCCUGACUGACCGAUAGUGAACCAGUACCGUGAGGGAAAGGCGAAAAGAACCCCGGCGAGGGGAGUGAAAAAGAACCUGAAACCGUGUACGUACAAGCAGUGGGAGCACGCUUAGGCGUGUGACUGCGUACCUUUUGUAUAAUGGGUCAGCGACUUAUAUUCUGUAGCAAGGUUAACCGAAUAGGGGAGCCGAAGGGAAACCGAGUCUUAACUGGGCGUUAAGUUGCAGGGUAUAGACCCGAAACCCGGUGAUCUAGCCAUGGGCAGGUUGAAGGUUGGGUAACACUAACUGGAGGACCGAACCGACUAAUGUUGAAAAAUUAGCGGAUGACUUGUGGCUGGGGGUGAAAGGCCAAUCAAACCGGGAGAUAGCUGGUUCUCCCCGAAAGCUAUUUAGGUAGCGCCUCGUGAAUUCAUCUCCGGGGGUAGAGCACUGUUUCGGCAAGGGGGUCAUCCCGACUUACCAACCCGAUGCAAACUGCGAAUACCGGAGAAUGUUAUCACGGGAGACACACGGCGGGUGCUAACGUCCGUCGUGAAGAGGGAAACAACCCAGACCGCCAGCUAAGGUCCCAAAGUCAUGGUUAAGUGGGAAACGAUGUGGGAAGGCCCAGACAGCCAGGAUGUUGGCUUAGAAGCAGCCAUCAUUUAAAGAAAGCGUAAUAGCUCACUGGUCGAGUCGGCCUGCGCGGAAGAUGUAACGGGGCUAAACCAUGCACCGAAGCUGCGGCAGCGACGCUGAUGCGUUGUUGGGUAGGGGAGCGUUCUGUAAGCCUGUGAAGGUGUGCUGUGAGGCAUGCUGGAGGUAUCAGAAGUGCGAAUGCUGACAUAAGUAACGAUAAAGCGGGUGAAAAGCCCGCUCGCCGGAAGACCAAGGGUUCCUGUCCAACGUUAAUCGGGGCAGGGUGAGUCGACCCCUAAGGCGAGGCCGAAAGGCGUAGUCGAUGGGAAACAGGUUAAUAUUCCUGUACUUGGUGUUACUGCGAAGGGGGGACGGAGAAGGCUAUGUUGGCCGGGCGACGGUUGUCCCGGUUUAAGCGUGUAGGCUGGUUUUCCAGGCAAAUCCGGAAAAUCAAGGCUGAGGCGUGAUGACGAGGCACUACGGUGCUGAAGCAACAAAUGCCCUGCUUCCAGGAAAAGCCUCUAAGCAUCAGGUAACAUCAAAUCGUACCCCAAACCGACACAGGUGGUCAGGUAGAGAAUACCAAGGCGCUUGAGAGAACUCGGGUGAAGGAACUAGGCAAAAUGGUGCCGUAACUUCGGGAGAAGGCACGCUGAUAUGUAGGUGAAGUCCCUCGCGGAUGGAGCUGAAAUCAGUCGAAGAUACCAGCUGGCUGCAACUGUUUAUUAAAAACACAGCACUGUGCAAACACGAAAGUGGACGUAUACGGUGUGACGCCUGCCCGGUGCCGGAAGGUUAAUUGAUGGGGUCAGCGCAAGCGAAGCUCUUGAUCGAAGCCCCGGUAAACGGCGGCCGUAACUAUAACGGUCCUAAGGUAGCGAAAUUCCUUGUCGGGUAAGUUCCGACCUGCACGAAUGGCGUAAUGAUGGCCAGGCUGUCUCCACCCGAGACUCAGUGAAAUUGAACUCGCUGUGAAGAUGCAGUGUACCCGCGGCAAGACGGAAAGACCCCGUGAACCUUUACUAUAGCUUGACACUGAACAUUGAGCCUUGAUGUGUAGGAUAGGUGGGAGGCUUUGAAGUGUGGACGCCAGUCUGCAUGGAGCCGGCCUUGAAAUACCACCCUUUAAUGUUUGAUGUUCUAACGUUGACCCGUGAUCCGGGUUGCGGACAGUGUCUGGUGGGUAGUUUGACUGGGGCGGUCUCCUCCUAAAGAGUAACGGAGGAGCACGAAGGUUGGCUAAUCCUGGUCGGACAUCAGGAGGUUAGUGCAAUGGCAUAAGCCAGCUUGACUGCGAGCGUGACGGCGCGAGCAGGUGCGAAAGCAGGUCAUAGUGAUCCGGUGGUUCUGAAUGGAAGGGCCAUCGCUCAACGGAUAAAAGGUACUCCGGGGAUAACAGGCUGAUACCGCCCAAGAGUUCAUAUCGACGGCGGUGUUUGGCACCUCGAUGUCGGCUCAUCACAUCCUGGGGCUGAAGUAGGUCCCAAGGGUAUGGCUGUUCGCCAUUUAAAGUGGUACGCGAGCUGGGUUUAGAACGUCGUGAGACAGUUCGGUCCCUAUCUGCCGUGGGCGCUGGAGAACUGAGGGGGGCUGCUCCUAGUACGAGAGGACCGGAGUGGACGCAUCACUGGUGUUCGGGUUGUCAUGCCAAUGGCACUGCCCGGUAGCUAAAUGCGGAAGAGAUAAGUGCUGAAAGCAUCUAAGCACGAAACUUGCCCCGAGAUGAGUUCUCCCUGACUCCUUGAGAGUCCUGAAGGAACGUUGAAGACGACGACGUUGAUAGGCCGGGUGUGUAAGCGCAGCGAUGCGUUGAGCUAACCGGUACUAAUGAACCGUGAGGCUUAACC
Molecule: ribosomal RNA, 2893 nt
Filed under: Escherichia coli
Lineage: Bacteria; Pseudomonadati; Pseudomonadota; Gammaproteobacteria; Enterobacterales; Enterobacteriaceae
Description: bacterial LSU rRNA
Rfam family: Bacterial large subunit ribosomal RNA
Source: RNAcentral